Fundulus heteroclitus (mummichog) is the source of this 1381-nucleotide long non-coding RNA. RefSeq lists it as uncharacterized. Lineage: Eukaryota; Metazoa; Chordata; Actinopteri; Cyprinodontiformes; Fundulidae. The transcript has 2 exons. The record is from RefSeq and is a predicted model, not a curated record.
GUUGGGUCAUUGCUGGUCACUGCGGUUGUAGUCCGUGGUGUUUCUGAUGCCUCUCCACAUGUCGCGUGGGUUGUUGCUGCUGAAGUGGUCCUUGAUGCGCUGCUUGUAUCUUUGCUUGGCCUUCUGGAAGCCUUAUUUUGCUUCUAGUCCUGCUGUGUGUAUGUAUUCAGGAAACAUGGCCUAAACCAAAUCUUGAUUUUCUAAUUAAAGGGUAUGAGAGCAUAAAAAAUGACAGAGAGGGUGGCUCGGGAAGAGGGUGUAUAACAUUUUUUAAACAGGGGAUUAACUCUAGCAUUUUACCUAAAGAAAGAGAAUUAGAAUAUAUUGUCAAUGAAAUCUGGGCAAAAAAUGUCAUUUCCAAAUUGUAAAUCUUUAUAAUCAAUGCAAAAACCUUUCCACGGAUGUGUUUGACAAACUUCUGAAGUUCGUGGAGGGAAAAGUAAUUUUUGUGGAGACUUCAAUGGACAUGGUACUUUAUGGAGUAAUCACAAUGAUAAAAAUAGGGAAGUAAAAUUAAAUAAGUAAUGGAAAUAAAAAUUGGCUUGUUUAACUGAUGGUAGUGGAACUAUAUCAACAUUAGGAAUGUUGCAAUGUCAGCAAUGGACCUAACAUUAGUUUCAGAUUCACUAGCAGGUGUAUGUUCUUGGAACGUAAUCAAAGAUACAACUACAGGAAGUGACCACUUCCCUAUAUGGACCAAAAUUGAGUUAAAUGUAGAAAUAAAUAAUGAUAAUCUGUUUCAGAAAUGGUGUUUUAGGUCAGCCGACUUUUAGAAGGAUUAGUGAUGAUAAAUUGGAAAAAGUAGAUAUAAAUAAUAAUGUGGAUGAAUUUGUAUAUAUGUUAUGCUAUUGUCACAUGGACGACCUUUAGCGGUUGGGUUUUCGUUCAGUGAGACAGAGUCUUGAACCAGAGUCAGGUGGAGAACAGCAGCAGUUUAUUUUCCACUCAGCAUCCACACAACACUGUCUUUCACAGCUGACACUGCAGUCUUAAAUAGUCCCAGCUGUGACGGACCAAACCAUAUUAAAUUCACAGGGGAAUCUCUUAAUCAAUCUCCACCUAUUUACAUAAAAUACAUUUUAUUAAAUACAAUACUUCUAUUUACUUUUUAUAAAUAUUUUUCCAUUUUAUCAUUACACCUUAAAUAAACACCACAAAAACCCCCAACAAUCCCCCCCCUAGUCUCCUCAAUGGCCUCUCCCAAAGCUAUAUAUGGCGUCUGGACCCCCGGGGUAGAAUUUGUCCAAACACCCUGGAGAGGACACAGAAAAGACAGGCACCAGCAACCAACCUCACUCAUCAAUGAGGAGCAGCUGUGCAGAGCCCAAAACAAAGGCCACAUACCAAUCGCCAAAAUGCUCAAUAAAUAUAAUUAAAACUU